AUUGAACGCUGGCGGCAGGCCUAACACAUGCAAGUCGAGCGGAUGAAGGGAGCUUGCUCCUGGAUUCAGCGGCGGACGGGUGAGUAAUGCCUAGGAAUCUGCCUGGUAGUGGGGGAUAACGUCCGGAAACGGGCGCUAAUACCGCAUACGUCCUGAGGGAGAAAGUGGGGGAUCUUCGGACCUCACGCUAUCAGAUGAGACUAGGUCGGAUUAGCUAGUUGGUGGGGUAAAGGCCUACCAAGGCGACGAUCCGUAACUGGUCUGAGAGGAUGAUCAGUCACACUGGAACUGAGACACGGUCCAGACUCCUACGGGAGGCAGCAGUGGGGAAUAUUGGACAAUGGGCGAAAGCCUGAUCCAGCCAUGCCGCGUGUGUGAAGAAGGUCUUCGGAUUGUAAAGCACUUUAAGUUGGGAGGAAGGGCAGUAAGUUAAUACCUUGCUGUUUUGACGUUACCAACAGAAUAAGCACCGGCUAACUUCGUG
Molecule: ribosomal RNA, 484 nt
Filed under: uncultured bacterium
Lineage: Bacteria
Description: partial 16S ribosomal RNA
Rfam family: Bacterial small subunit ribosomal RNA
Source: RNAcentral